AAUUUAAACUCUAAAAGCCUGCAAUGAGUUUACAAUGGCUUCUAUACAACUGAUUAAUCUCAAUUGAUCUUGGCUUGGAACACAAGAGCAUGAGAAAUCAUAGAAACAGAGAAAAGACUGCUCAAGACUCUGCUGAAGAUUGAAUCUGUUGUGGAAGUUGGAGUGUAACUAUUUGUGUUUCACAUCUGAUGGAUGCCUUCAGUUUAUCUGCUCUCCAGAAGACUUCCGGAAGACACAGUGCGUUCUUUAGAAUGUAUUUUAAAGACUUCCCUCAUAAGAACAAUGCAUUCCAGGAUAAGUUCUAGGAACAUCUCUAGAGAAGGAGAGGAGAUAUUGGAAAUUAUUUUUGUGUUAGUUCUGGUCAUGCUACUGUGGCCAAAAUAUUUCAAGUUUAUGAAGUAUUUUGUUAUGGGCUAUUGUAUGCCUGGUGUCAUCAUUACUGCACCUAUGACUUUCUAGAGUUUUGUUCUUAACAUCAAUUUUGGUAGCCAGCAGAAGAAUGAAUAUGUUAAAAUCUUAAGCAAAUCAAAUCCAGUUACAAGAUGAGAACAAUGCUGCAAAGAACUUUUUACUUGGAGUUUUCAUUAGAAGGCUCCAGCUAACACCAUGAGGUGGUCUCUGGCCAAUCUGAGAGCCAGGAUGGUGGGAAGAAUUUGAACCAGUGCUUCAGAGAAAGAACCCUGUUCCUACAGUUUAGCAUCUCUGUCUACUUUUGCAAGUAAGAGCAAUAUAUGAGAAAAUGAAAAUUGCUGUAGUGCAUUACGUGAGUAGUCAGUUCUUGAAUGUUCUUCAAUACAAAACUUGGAUUUCUUUUUGAACUUCGUACAGAAACUAUUAUAAGAAUUGUAACUAGUUAUUGCAUAGCACUGCUAUGCAACAUUUUAAAGUAUACACAACUUAAUAAUAAACAUCCUU
This 915-nucleotide long non-coding RNA is filed under the name Gallus gallus (chicken). RNAcentral describes it as "lncRNA (ENSGALG00010008761.1)". Lineage: Eukaryota; Metazoa; Chordata; Aves; Galliformes; Phasianidae. The record is from RNAcentral.